This 497-nucleotide ribosomal RNA is filed under the name uncultured bacterium. Its description in RNAcentral is "partial 16S ribosomal RNA". It matches the Rfam family "Bacterial small subunit ribosomal RNA", at positions 28 to 507 of the family's 1533-position model. The record is from RNAcentral.
GAUGAACGCUGGCGGCGUGCCUAAUACAUGCAAGUCGAGCGAGCAGACGAGGAGCUUGCUCCUCUGACGUUAGCGGCGGACGGGUGAGUAACACGUGGAUAACCUACCUAUAAGACUGGGAUAACUUCGGGAAACCGGAGCUAAUACCGGAUAAUAUAUUGAACCGCAUGGUUCAAUAGUGAAAGACGGUUUUGCUGUCACUUAUAGAUGGAUCCGCGCCGCAUUAGCUAGUUGGUAAGGUAACGGCUUACCAAGGCAAUGAUGCGUAGCCGACCUGAGAGGGUGAUCGGCCACACUGGAACUGAGACACGGUCCAGACUCCUACGGGAGGCAGCAGUAGGGAAUCUUCCGCAAUGGGCGAAAGCCUGACGGAGCAACGCCGCGUGAGUGAUGAAGGUCUUCGGAUCGUAAAACUCUGUUAUUAGGGAAGAACAAAUGUGUAAGUAACUAUGCACGUCUUGACGGUACCUAAUCAGAAAGCCACGGCUAACUACGUG